ACAAAAGGAUUCUGGAGGCAAUAAAAGGACAUAGAGACAAAAAGGCCUGGAGGCAAAAAGGAUUUGGAGGCAAAACAAGGACCUGGAGGCAAAAAUAGGAUUCUGAAGGUAAAAAGGAGGCAAAGAGGGCUUGAGAGGCACAAAGGAGCUGGAGCCCUUGCUGGCCUCUCUCCCACCUGGAUUCGCGGCUGCCCCGUGGAAUUGCUGCGGUUCCCCAAAACGGAGGGGGAAAAGCUCCUCCUUCCCUGCCCGCGGAUGAAUUCUCAGCCCUGCAGCUCCGGGCUGGGCCAGAGGAUCCCCCCAGCCCUGCCCCGAUCCCAGAAAUCACGGACACCCCGACGGGCCCCGCCAGGCCGGGUUUAUUCCCUCCCCAAAUCUGGAUGGAGCCACCCAAACCCCAAAUUGGGCUGUGGGGGGCCAGGCUGGGAGCACCCACCCCAGCGGGGCACGAACAGGAACCUGCAGCGCGGCUUUUGCUCCCUUUUUUAUAGAUUUCUGCGCGGAUGUAGAGAAAAUAGAGAGAACGUGGGGCGCCCCCAGCAGAGCCACGGCCGGCUGCAAACAGCUCUGAGGUGGGGAAUCAAAAGGGCCCCGUCCGGAUUGUCCCGGGCUGUCCCCUGCCUGUCCCGGGCUGUCCCCCUGCUGUCCCCCGGCUGUCCCCUCCUUGUCCCGGGCUGUCCCCUGCCUGUCCCGGGCUGUCCCGUGGCUGUCCCGGGCUGUCCCCUGCCUGUCCCGGGCUGUCCCGUGGCUGUCCCGGGCUGUCCCCUGCCUGUCCCGGGCUGUCCCCUCCCUGUCCCGGGCUGUCCCCUGCCUGUCCCCCGGCUGUCCCCUCCCUGUCCCGGGCUGUCCCCUGCCUGUCCCGGGCUGUCCCCUGGCUGUCUCUGCCUGUCCCCCGGCUGUCCCCUCGCUGUCCCCCGGGCUAUCCCCGGACUGUCCCCUUGCUUUUUCCCGGCUGUCCCCCUGUUGUCCCCUCGCUGUCCCUGGGGCUGUCCCUGGCUGUCCCCCCGUUGUCCCGGGCUGUCCCCGUUGUCCCCCCGUUGUCCCGGGCUGUCCCCCCGCU
RNAcentral lists this long non-coding RNA (1060 nucleotides) under Lonchura striata (white-rumped munia). Its description in RNAcentral is "domestica (Bengalese finch) lncRNA (ENSLSDG00000004089.1)". Lineage: Eukaryota; Metazoa; Chordata; Aves; Passeriformes; Estrildidae. The record is from RNAcentral.